RNAcentral lists this ribosomal RNA (898 nucleotides) under Polyschema congolense. Its description in RNAcentral is "LSU rRNA". It matches the Rfam family "Eukaryotic large subunit ribosomal RNA", at positions 36 to 953 of the family's 3401-position model. The record is from RNAcentral. Lineage: Eukaryota; Fungi; Ascomycota; Dothideomycetes; Pleosporales; Latoruaceae.
UAGCAUAUCAAUAAGCGGAGGAAAAGAAACCAACUGGGAUUGCCCUAGUAACGGCGAGUGAAGCGGCAACAGCUCAAAUUUGAAAUCUGGCUCUUUCAGAGUCCGAGUUGUAAUUUGCAGAGGUGGCUUUGGCUUUGGUUGCGGUCUAAGUUUCCUUGGAACAGGACAUCACAGAGGGUGAGAAUCCCGUAUGUGGUCGCGUACCAUCGCCGUGUAAAGCCCCUUCGACGAGUCGAGUUGUUUGGGAAUGCAGCUCUAAAUGGGAGGUAAAUUUCUUCUAAAGCUAAAUACUGGCCAGAGACCGAUAGCGCACAAGUAGAGUGAUCGAAAGAUGAAAAGCACUUUGGAAAGAGAGUCAAACAGCACGUGAAAUUGUUGAAAGGGAAGCGCUUGCAGCCAGACUUGCCCGUCGUUGCUCAUCUAGACUCUUGUCUGGAGCAUUCUUCGGCGGGCAGGCCAGCAUCAGUUUGGGCGGCCGGACAAAGACCUCUGUCAUGUAUCUUCCUUCGGGAAGGCCUUAUAGGGGAGGUGUAACACGGCCAGUCUGGACUGAGGUUCGCGCAUCUGCUAGGAUGCUGGCGUAAUGGCUGUAAGCGGCCCGUCUUGAAACACGGACCAAGGAGUCUAACAUCUAUGCGAGUGUUUGGGUGUCAAGCCCGGGCGCGCAAUGAAAGUGAACGGAGGUGGGAACCCUCGGGUGCACCAUCGACCGAUCCUGAUGUCUUCGGAUGGAUUUGAGUAAGAGCAUAGCUGUUGGGACCCGAAAGAUGGUGAACUAUGCUUGAAUAGGGUGAAGCCAGAGGAAACUCUGGUGGAGGCUCGCAGCGGUUCUGACGUGCAAAUCGAUCGUCAAAUUUGGGCAUAGGGGCGAAAGACUAAUCGAACUAUCUAGUAGCUG